UAUGAUGAUUAUUUGUCUCAUGUUUACUGUUUUACACAUUAAUCAAUGGCUUGUUAACUUUUCUAAUUUUUAUUUUAAUUAAUAUUGUCAAUUUGUUUUUAACAGGGUUGGUGAGGCGAACUAAAGGUCCGAGAAAAAAAGCAAAGGAGAUUUGAAGGGGUGCAAAGCUUUUGGGCAGACGAAGAUGACUUGAUGUAUUUUUAGUUUAUUUACCUCCUUGGAUGGAUGAUGGACUUAUAUAACAUUUGAUUGUUGAACUUUAUAAUAUUUUCUAGAAGCUUGAACAAGAUAGAUCUUGUAAAAUUUGUUGAGAUCUUUAUAUUUGUUGAAUUAUGAGUUGAUCGAGUUCAAUUAUUACUCUUGUAUGUGAAAUUAAGAUGUGUUGAAUGUAUAUAAAUGUUAUUUGAA
Molecule: long non-coding RNA, 408 nt
Organism: Zingiber officinale
Lineage: Eukaryota; Viridiplantae; Streptophyta; Magnoliopsida; Zingiberales; Zingiberaceae
Exons: 2
Source: RefSeq, a predicted model, not a curated record